GUAGGAGCCGGUUUGCUGGCGAUAGCAUCUGUGCGGUGCACCCGUUACACCGCGCCGCAUGGAUCGCCAGCAAGCCGGCUCCUAC
Molecule: unclassified non-coding RNA, 85 nt
Filed under: Pseudomonas reinekei
Lineage: Bacteria; Pseudomonadati; Pseudomonadota; Gammaproteobacteria; Pseudomonadales; Pseudomonadaceae
Source: RNAcentral